Molecule: ribosomal RNA, 1425 nt
Filed under: Streptococcus salivarius
Lineage: Bacteria; Bacillati; Bacillota; Bacilli; Lactobacillales; Streptococcaceae
Description: bacterial SSU rRNA
Rfam family: Bacterial small subunit ribosomal RNA
Source: RNAcentral
CCUUAAUUCCUUGCCAAGUAGAACGCUGAAGAGAGGAGCUUGCUCUUCUUGGAUGAGUUGCGAACGGGUGAGUAACGCGUAGGUAACCUGCCUUGUAGCGGGGGAUAACUAUUGGAAACGAUAGCUAAUACCGCAUAACAAUGGAUGACACAUGUCAUUUAUUUGAAAGGGGCAAUUGCUCCACUACAAGAUGGACCUGCGUUGUAUUAGCUAGUAGGUGAGGUAACGGCUCACCUAGGCGACGAUACAUAGCCGACCUGAGAGGGUGAUCGGCCACACUGGGACUGAGACACGGCCCAGACUCCUACGGGAGGCAGCAGUAGGGAAUCUUCGGCAAUGGGGGCAACCCUGACCGAGCAACGCCGCGUGAGUGAAGAAGGUUUUCGGAUCGUAAAGCUCUGUUGUAAGUCAAGAACGAGUGUGAGAGUGGAAAGUUCACACUGUGACGGUAGCUUACCAGAAAGGGACGGCUAACUACGUGCCAGCAGCCGCGGUAAUACGUAGGUCCCGAGCGUUGUCCGGAUUUAUUGGGCGUAAAGCGAGCGCAGGCGGUUUGAUAAGUCUGAAGUUAAAGGCUGUGGCUCAACCAUAGUUCGCUUUGGAAACUGUCAAACUUGAGUGCAGAAGGGGAGAGUGGAAUUCCAUGUGUAGCGGUGAAAUGCGUAGAUAUAUGGAGGAACACCGGUGGCGAAAGCGGCUCUCUGGUCUGUAACUGACGCUGAGGCUCGAAAGCGUGGGGAGCGAACAGGAUUAGAUACCCUGGUAGUCCACGCCGUAAACGAUGAGUGCUAGGUGUUGGAUCCUUUCCGGGAUUCAGUGCCGCAGCUAACGCAUUAAGCACUCCGCCUGGGGAGUACGACCGCAAGGUUGAAACUCAAAGGAAUUGACGGGGGCCCGCACAAGCGGUGGAGCAUGUGGUUUAAUUCGAAGCAACGCGAAGAACCUUACCAGGUCUUGACAUCCCGAUGCUAUUUCUAGAGAUAGAAAGUUACUUCGGUACAUCGGUGACAGGUGGUGCAUGGUUGUCGUCAGCUCGUGUCGUGAGAUGUUGGGUUAAGUCCCGCAACGAGCGCAACCCCUAUUGUUAGUUGCCAUCAUUCAGUUGGGCACUCUAGCGAGACUGCCGGUAAUAAACCGGAGGAAGGUGGGGAUGACGUCAAAUCAUCAUGCCCCUUAUGACCUGGGCUACACACGUGCUACAAUGGUUGGUACAACGAGUUGCGAGUCGGUGACGGCAAGCUAAUCUCUUAAAGCCAAUCUCAGUUCGGAUUGUAGGCUGCAACUCGCCUACAUGAAGUCGGAAUCGCUAGUAAUCGCGGAUCAGCACGCCGCGGUGAAUACGUUCCCGGGCCUUGUACACACCGCCCGUCACACCACGAGAGUUUGUAACACCCGAAGUCGGUGAAGGUAAACCCCUUUUUUGGG